UAGGGAAUAUUGGGCAAUGGAGGGAACUCUGACCCAGCCAUGCCGCGUGCAGGAUGAAGGCGUUAUGCGUUGUAAACUGCUUUUAUAUAGGAAGAAACAGACCUUGCGAGGUAAAUUGACGGUACUAUAUGAAUAAGCACCGGCUAACUCCGUGCCAGCAGCCGCGGUAAUACGGAGGGUGCAAGCGUUGUCCGGAUUUAUUGGGUUUAAAGGGUGCGUAGGCGGUUUAUUAAGUCAGUGGUGAAAGACGGUCGCUCAACGAUUGCAGUGCCAUUGAUACUGGUAGACUUGAGUGUGAUUGAGGUAGCUGGAAUGGAUAGUGUAGCGGUGAAAUGCAUAGAUAUUAUCCAGAACACCAAUUGCGAAGGCAGGUUACUAAGUCACAACUGACGCUGAUGCA
Molecule: ribosomal RNA, 400 nt
Filed under: uncultured bacterium
Lineage: Bacteria
Description: bacterial SSU rRNA
Rfam family: Bacterial small subunit ribosomal RNA
Source: RNAcentral